Molecule: ribosomal RNA, 547 nt
Filed under: uncultured bacterium
Lineage: Bacteria
Description: bacterial SSU rRNA
Rfam family: Bacterial small subunit ribosomal RNA
Source: RNAcentral
UGGGGAAUAUUGCGCAACGGGGGGAACCCUGACGCAGCCAUGCCGCGUGAAUGAAGAAGGCCUUAGGGUUGUAAAGUUCUUUCGGUAUUGAGGAAGGUUGAUGUGUUAAUAGCACAUCAAAUUGACGUUAAAUACAGAAGAAGCACCGGCUAACUCCGUGCCAGCAGCCGCGGUAAUACGGAGGGUGCGAGCGUUAAUCGGAAUAACUGGGCGUAAAGGGCACGCAGGCGGUUAUUUAAGUGAGGUGUGAAAGCCCCGGGCUUAACCUGGGAAUUGCAUUUCAGACUGGGUAACUAGAGUACUUUAGGGAGGGGUAGAAUUCCACGUGUAGCGGUGAAAUGCGUAGAGAUGUGGGGGAAUACCGAAGGCGAAGGCAGCCCCUUGGGAAUGUACUGACGCUCAUGUGCGAAAGCGUGGGGAGCAAACAGGAUUAGAUACCCUGGUAGUCCACGCUGUAAACGCUGUCGAUUUGGGGGUUGGGGUUUAACUCUGGCGCCCGUAGCUAACGUGAUAAAUCGACCGCCUGGGGAGUACGGCCGCAAGGUUA